Bos indicus x Bos taurus (hybrid cattle) is the source of this 1115-nucleotide long non-coding RNA. NCBI's taxonomy places the organism in Eukaryota, Metazoa, Chordata, Mammalia, Artiodactyla, Bovidae. The record is from Ensembl.
CACUCAGCUUUUUUUUUUUUAUUUUUCAGAAAGGAGACCCCCAGGGGCAAGUCUGGGGAGUGUGGGGAUCCCGAGAAGAUGCCACUGGACUUUGGCCACGAACAACAGACGAACGGGAUUUUCCCCAGGACUCCUCUUUCUGAUAGGGUGUGGGAAAGCGUUCGAGAUAGAGAGAGCAGCGGGACCCAACGUGGUGUCAACGAGCACCAUAUGCUUGGGAAGUGAUGGGCGCUCAACGCCCAAAGGUGACCGAGGAAGCAGGUGGUUAAAGCUGUACGUGGAGGUUGAUGCUAAAGGCCAUGGCAGGGAGGUGAACUUGAUUCACUGAUGGGAGCCUCCAAUGUUUUUUAAGCGAAGGUACCAUGCAGUUGGGUGUGUUUUAGGGUCAUCACUCUGAGCAUGGUGGCCAUGGAGGAGCAAGCACAUAGGACAAUAGAGGACUACAUGGGAAGGAUUAACUGGGCAGUUGUGGUGAGAAUGGAAAGAAGGGAAUUAUUAAAGAGACGAUCCUAAGGUGGAAUGGCAGGAUGCUGGGGAUGAGGAGGGUGGAAGGCAUCUAGCUUCAAGCUUUGGUGACUAUACAGAUGUCUUUAACCAAACUGUGGGCUACAAGGGGGAGGAGUGCUUGGGCUCACAUUUGGACUUGCUGAGUUUCCAUGUUUAUGGGUCAUAUAAGGAUACUGCCCAAACCCGGGCCUGCCUUGGGGAAUAUUCAUCUCAUUAGAGUUAAAUCACUUUUCCCUGUCUGCAUGUCUCCUCCCCACACGAAUGUAACCUCCCAGAGGGAAAGAUUGAAGGCAAGAGGAGAAAGGGACGACAGAGGAUGAAAUGGCUGGAUGGCACCACCAACUCGAUGGACAUGAGUUUUGAGGACGCUCUGGGAGUUGGUGAUGGACAGGGAGGCCUGGCGUGCUGCUGUCCAUGGGGUCACCAAGAGUAGGACACGACUGAGCGAAUGGACUGAGAGGGAAGCCGCUCUCCUUUAUCUCGUAUCUCCUGUGCCCCUGGAGAGGGUGCAGCUGGCUUUGCUGCAUCAGUGGUUGUCUAGUUCUCUAGGAACUAAUGCAAUCCACGGCUGGUGCAAGAGAAUUACAACUUGGAACCUGACUUUGUGA